Molecule: RNA transcript, 542 nt
Organism: Helianthus annuus (common sunflower)
Lineage: Eukaryota; Viridiplantae; Streptophyta; Magnoliopsida; Asterales; Asteraceae
Exons: 4
Source: RefSeq, a predicted model, not a curated record
AGUUACAACCCCUUAUACACCUACGGGCAGUCAAAGUUGGCCAACAUAUUGCAUGCCAAUGAGCUAACAAGACAAUUUAAGGAAGAAAGAGUGGAGUUAACAGCAAACUCGCUGCAUCCUGGUGCCAUUGCAACCAGUCUUUUACGUCAUCACAGCUUUCUCGAGGGUGUAAUGAACUGGGUUGGUAAAUACUUCCUGAAAACUAUCCCACAGGGAGCUGCAACUACAUGUUAUGUGGCGUUACACCCACAAGUCAAAGGGGUCAGCGGCGAGUAUUUUUCAGACAGUAACAUAGCAAAGCCAAGUUCCCUUGCUAAAGAUUCUGAUUUGGCUAAGAAACUUUGGGAUUUUAGCCUGAGCAUGGUGGCUCUAUAAUUAGACUGAAUAUAGUGAAAUAUUGUAAGAUUUGCUUAUAUGGUUUCAUGCAUGAGGAUUUUUUUUACUUGCAAUAGCAAGGUGCAAUCUUAUUAUCUUUAAAAGAUUUGUAAUGUGACAUGUAAUAUUGUAAAUAAGACUUGAACACUUAUUUAAGUUAUUAUCAU